GACGAACGCUGGCGGCGUGCUUAACACAUGCAAGUCGAGCGGAGCGGCGAACGGGUGAGUAACGCGUGAGUAAUUGCCCCCCUCUCUGGGAUAACAGUUGGAAACGGCUGCUAAUACCGGAUAGUGGGGGAUGACUCGCGCCCUAUCAGAUUGUUGGUGGGGUAGUGGCCUACCAAGGCGACGCCGGGUCGCCGGCCUGAGAGGGCGACCGGCCCCAAUGGGCUGAGAUAGGCCGCAGACGCGAACAGGGGGCAGCGGUGGGAAAUAUUACACAGUGAGGGAAACCCUGAUACGGCGACGCGGGUGCGGAAUGACUGCCUUGUGGUUGUGAACCGCUUUCAGCCAUGACGCGGUAGUGACAGAAGAAGCACCGGCUAACUACGUGCCAGCCGCCGCGGUAAUUC
This 404-nucleotide ribosomal RNA is filed under the name uncultured bacterium. Its description in RNAcentral is "partial 16S ribosomal RNA". It matches the Rfam family "Bacterial small subunit ribosomal RNA", at positions 28 to 526 of the family's 1533-position model. The record is from RNAcentral.